GACGAACUGUCCAAGCGUUGUUCGGAAUCACUGGGCUUAAAGGGCGCGUAGGCGGUCCGACAAGUCAGGGGUGAAAUCCUGCAGUUUAACUGUAGAAGUGCCUCUGAUACUGUCGGUCUUGAGGGAGGUAGGGGUGUGCGGAACUUCCAGUGGAGCGGUGAAAUGUGGUGAUAUUGGAAGGAACGCCGGUGGCGAAAGCGGCGCACUGGACCGCUUCUGACGCUGAGGCGCGAAAGCUAGGGGAGCAAACGGG
Molecule: ribosomal RNA, 253 nt
Filed under: uncultured bacterium
Lineage: Bacteria
Description: partial 16S ribosomal RNA
Rfam family: Bacterial small subunit ribosomal RNA
Source: RNAcentral